Molecule: ribosomal RNA, 543 nt
Filed under: Mitra ambigua
Lineage: Eukaryota; Metazoa; Mollusca; Gastropoda; Neogastropoda; Mitridae
Description: Strigatella ambigua partial 16S ribosomal RNA
Rfam family: Bacterial large subunit ribosomal RNA
Source: RNAcentral
UUUUUAAAAAACAUCGCUCCCCGUUAUAAGUAGAUGAGGAGUCGGACCUGCCCAGUGAAUUUUUAACGGCCGCGGUACUCUGACCGUGCAAAGGUAGCAUAAUAAUUUGCCUUAUAAUUGAAGGCUGGUAUGAAUGGUUUGACGAGAAUAAAGCUGUCUCUUUGCAACUUUGUAGAAAUUUAUUUGCGGAUGAAAAAGUCCGCAUAUUAUUAAAAGACAAGAAGACCCUAUCGAGCUUUAAAGAAUUUAAUAGAACAAGGAGAACCAAUUGAAACUUAAAAGGUCAGUCUGUUAAAAAUUUUAGUUGGGGCGACUGAGGAACAAAAGAAGCUUCCUUAAAACAUAAGUUUGCUUGUCAGCCUUGAUCCAGAAGUUUCUGAUUAAUAGAAUUAGUUACCGUAGGGAUAACAGCAUUAUCUUUUUUGAGAGCUCUUAUCGAAAAAAAGGUUUGUGACCUCGAUGUUGGACCAGAAUGUCCUGAAGAUGCAGCAGUCUUCGAGGGUUGGUCUGUUCGACCAUUAAUAUUCUACGUGAUCUAGUUCC